AGAAACCAAAUUGGCUGGCGCCUUGAUCAUGGACUCCUGGGCUCCGGAACUGUAAGAAAAUUUGUGUUGUGGAAGCCACCCAGCCCAUGGUAUUUCGUUAUGGCAGCCUGAGCAGAGGUGGUAGCUAUGUGGACAGUUUUUGGACUUCUCUAUUGUAACACAGGAGGCAACACAGAUUCUUCAAGUCUCACAGCUACUCCCUAGGGAUCACUGGGGAACUUGGAAAAAAUCUAUUGGCUCAGCUAGUGAGCGAUCACUUCCUGUACCACUGUUCUGAGGGCGGACUUCCAGCUCAGGAUCAUGCGAGGGCAUUUUGUUGCCCUUCAUCACUCAGCAGUGAAGAAUGAAAAUCAACAGAGCUUUCCCCAGCCUGCUGCUUAAGCAGCUGCUAGCAGGCUGAGGCUGCCCAGCCUCAUUAACCCAUUAGAUGCUGCGUUCGCCCGGGAGUCAUUCUUAAUGAGGCUGCUGCAGAUGAGAAAACAGAAGCAAAGGCAGAAAGAUGCUACAUUGCCAGCUUUGAAGAUGGAGGGAAGAGGUCACAAACCAAGGAAGGUGAGUGGUGCCUAGAAGUUGGAAAAGACAUGGAAACACAUUCUUCUGUAAAGCACUUAGAAAGAAAUACAGUCUUCCAAAAUGUUGAUCUUAGCCAGGCAAUGAGGACGUUGCACAAGACAGUCCCUGAUACCCAGAGUUUACUGCCUAAGAGAGGAUACAUCCUUCAAACCAAUAAUCUGCUAAUAGCAAGAUCCAAUAGCUUCAUGGAUAUUGAAAGAAACUGAGAAUCAAAUUUGCAUACUUCUGAGUCACUUGGAAACAAAAAACAAGUACAGUCUUAGAUUCUGAGGGAACAAAAAUUAAAAAUCACAUUAGGAAGAGAAUUCCUAAUGUAGGAACUCAUCCUGGAAGAUUCUUCAGCAAAAGUACAGACAAUAAUAAUAAUACUCCAUGAAGUUACCAUCGAUAUUGAAUGAAUUAAUGAAUGUAAAAACCUCAAAACCCUGCCUGGCCCAGAGCUUUGGAAUGGGUUUGGAUCUACCACUCAACUGCUUUAUGACUUCAGACCAGUUAUUUAAAUUCCCUGAAGCUCAGUUUCCACAUCUUUGAGUUUUUAUUAAUGACCUGCCGACAUCAUACAGUUCAUGAAAUGCUCUGGAUGUGUACAUGCUGAUGAUACGACCUCAGACCCAGCAAGAGCUCAGUGCAGCCCGGAGAGCUGUGAGCAGUGCCACAGGAGGAGAUGACUGGUGAGUGAAAUAAGCAAGAUAGGAGUUGAAGUGUACAUGAAGCAGAGUCCAAGCCUUCUCCUUCUGGAUGUUCAGCUGGAUCAUCCUGACUGCUCCCACUUUCAUCUUGGCUUUCAAAGGCAAGAGGAAAUUAUAAGGAAUAUUCUGAGUGGCUUUCAUCCAGGAGUUCUGUGGGACCCGCAACACCUGGAUGGUAGAUGCAAACAGAUAAAGAAUAUUGGUCACCAAAAGGAGUUCUUUUCAUCAUAGAUCUCUGAAGGUAGACACCUAUUUGCAGACUUCUCAAAGGGCUAUAUGGAUGUGCUCUACUUGUUGGAGGAUUGUCCAUCCACUCUUCUUCCUGUACUUACCAGGACAGAACAGCCGCAACUUCUCAGACAGUUCAUUCUUCUUUUCCUCACCUACUACCAUCUAAGAAAGGUACUUGAUGACUGUGGCUUUAGACAAGAGUCCUUUUCUUACCACAGGGUGGGCAGCACCAGCUCAUUAGAACCAUUUGUGUGACUGACUGAAGACAGCUCACCUUGGAACACUGCAGGUUGAAGAUCAUCUCUUCUUUUUUUCAUGGUGUUAAGCAUGGACCGAUGUUGUGACUCUCUUUCACCAACAGAAUAUGGCGUAAGUGACAUUUUACAAGUUCCAGAGCCUGGGACUCAAGAUGUCUUGGAGAUUCUGUCUUUGCAGUCUUAUAAUGAUGCCCUGAGAUCAUCAUUAAAGAAAGCCAGUCUGGCCUACUGAGGAUGAGAAGCUACAUAAAGGAGAAUGAAGAUUCCCCAGCCAACAGGCAAUAUCAGUGGUCAGAUAUGUGAAUAAAGCCAUGUUGAACCUCUCGGCUAGACGACCCUCCAGCAUAUGAAACCAGCAGAUGAAUAUCCCAGCCUGCCUGAAGAACUGUACAGGAAAUAAGAAAUCAUUGUUUUUUAAGCCACUGGGUUGGUGGGUGGUUUGUUACAUUGAAAUUGUUAACUAAAACAGAAAUUGGUGCAUAGAGGUCAGGUGCUGUCAUAAUAAAAAUCUAAAACAUAUACUGUUGGCUUUGGUGAUGGGAGUGAUUGGUAGCUAAAGAGGCAGUGAAACAAUGAUUAGUAGAUACUGGGAAGUUAAUAAGGAAAUUUCUAUUGGAGGGUGGAGAAAGGGCCACCCUUGUUAUAUAGUGGCCAAAGAAUCAGCAAAAUGUUGCCUGCUGCAACCUGGAAAGUAGAAACUUUUCUUAAACUCACGGAUCUGGCUGGGAGAUUUCCAGGAUGCAUGCAACAAAUGUGAAUCAACUUUGUAUAGCUGUGUAUAAUAAAGUGUGCUGUAUUUGUCCAUUCUGAUGCUGCUAAUAAAGACAUACCUGAGACUGAAU
RNAcentral lists this long non-coding RNA (2592 nucleotides) under Homo sapiens (human). RNAcentral's name for it is "non-protein coding lnc-ETNK1-3:20". The record is from RNAcentral. Lineage: Eukaryota; Metazoa; Chordata; Mammalia; Primates; Hominidae.